AACGAACGCUGGCGGCAUGCCUAACACAUGCAAGUCGAACGAGACCUUCGGGUCUAGUGGCGCACGGGUGCGUAACGCGUGGGAACCUGCCCUUAGGUUCGGAAUAACUCCCCGAAAGGGGUGCUAAUACCGGAUAAUGUCUUCGGACCCAAGAUUUAUCGCCUUUGGAUGGGCCCGCGUUGGAUUAGCUAGUUGGUAGGGUAAAAGCCUACCAAGGCGACGAUCCAUAGCUGGUCUGAGAGGAUGAUCAGCCACACUUGGACUGAGACACGGCCCAGACUCCUACGCGAGGCAGCAGUGGGGAAUAUUGGACAAUGGGCGAAAGCCUGAUCCAGCAAUGCCGCGUGAGUGAUGAAGGCCUUAGGGUUGUAAAGCUCUUUUACCCGGGAUGAUAAUGACAGUACCGGGAGAAUAAGCUCCGGCUAACUCCGUG
This 433-nucleotide ribosomal RNA is filed under the name uncultured bacterium. RNAcentral's name for it is "partial 16S ribosomal RNA". It matches the Rfam family "Bacterial small subunit ribosomal RNA", at positions 29 to 507 of the family's 1533-position model. The record is from RNAcentral.